AAAUCAGUGAGGGGUCAAAUAAUUAUUUCCUCCACUGUAUUAGGCAGGUAGGAGGUCAGUACAAAAUGGCACAUCUGCCCCAUCAGCCGCUCCUUACAGCUGGGUGCCAUGUAUAAUGCCAGGCAUGACAGGAGCGCAUUGGAGUAUAACAGUGUCAGUUCCCCAACCUGUGGCCCCCCAGCUGUUGCUACGGCUCCCUGCUUCCCUGUCAGAUCCUUUAGGGUCUGUUUGUAAAAUGGGAGAACUGGUCGAGGGUGUGAGUACUUAUAUAAGGCAGUGUAUCCUGAUGUGUGUAGCAGAGAGGGCCGGCACAUAUGAGCUCACAAUCUCUUUUUUCCUUCUCCCCAUAAAGUGAAAAUUGUCAGCGAUUCUGAGCGACUCUGGCGAGAAUUUUUGUGAUUUUUUUUUUUUGUGAGAUAUUCAGCGAGUUUCCAACUCACUUUUGACGCUUCUUAGGAAAUAACAUCUUCCAUAGACGUCUGCUGAUAUCUCUUUUUUAUACCCAACUGCUCUUUUAAGAGCAAGAAGACCGGGGCGCAAUGCCAUCCUGCGCCCCCUGGAGGAAGCGAGAGGCAGGAUCAAGACCCCUCUCUGAUAUUUAUAAGCCUCCUGAUGGUCGGCUGACCAAGGGUGUGCUCCUCGGACAGGGCGGGCGCUGCAGCCGCAGUGGCUGCACCUCCAUCGGAAGCCCCAGGAGUAUCUAAUUCUCAGAUACCUGUUACUCCACCAGUGGCGUCUCCUCUCCCAAUUACAGCUACACCACCAGCAGUGUAUGUAACACUCUAUACACAACCUCCACCCAUCAUCUCUAUCUCCCCUUCAGCCAUAGUUCCACCAGUGGCACUUUUUCUCCAGCCCAAUUUUAAUAUCUGCAGCUCCACCAGUUGGAUUCCUGCUUUUAGAGAGCACAAUUCCAGCAGCGGCACCUCACUUUGUAGCUCUCAUUCUCCUUUUCUUUCUUUGGCUCCACCACCAGCCCCUCUUUCUUUUUCUGCUGCUCCUCUACCAACAGACCACCAUACUAAUACAUCAUACAGUAUUUGCAGUUCCACCAACCUCAGCUCAAACAGUGCAUCCACCACCGUCAGUCUUAAGGUUCCCAUAUACUAUAAGAUCCGCUCGCUUGGCGAUGUCGCCAAUCGAGCGGAUCU
This is a long non-coding RNA of Xenopus tropicalis (tropical clawed frog), 1151 nucleotides long. RefSeq lists it as uncharacterized. The record is from RefSeq and is a predicted model, not a curated record. NCBI's taxonomy places the organism in Eukaryota, Metazoa, Chordata, Amphibia, Anura, Pipidae. The transcript is spliced from 3 exons.